UGGAGGCAGCAGUGAGGAAUUUUGGACAAUGGGCGCAAGCCUGAUCCAGCCAUGCCGCGUGAGUGAAGAAGGCCUUCGGGUUGUAAAGCUCUUUCGGCCGGAACGAAAUCGACCGGGCUAAUACCCCGGUUGUAUGACGGUACCGGAAGAAGAAGCACCGGCUAACUACGUGCCAGCAGCCGCGGUAAUACGUAGGGUGCAGGCGUUAAUCGGAAUUACUGGGCGUAAAGCGUGCGCAGGCGGCUUCCUAAGUCAGAUGUGAAAUCCCCGGGCUUAACCUGGGAACUGCGUUUGAAACUGGGAGGCUAGAGUGCGGCAGAGGGAGGUGGAAUUCCACGUGUAGCAGUGAAAUGCGUAGAUAUGUGGAGGAACACCGAUGGCGAAGGCAGCCUCCUGGGCCAGCACUGACGCUCAUGCACGAAAGCGUGGGGAGCAAACAGGAUUAGAUACCCCUGUAGUCC
Molecule: ribosomal RNA, 461 nt
Filed under: uncultured bacterium
Lineage: Bacteria
Description: bacterial SSU rRNA
Rfam family: Bacterial small subunit ribosomal RNA
Source: RNAcentral